Molecule: non-coding RNA, 1275 nt
Organism: Phascolarctos cinereus (koala)
Lineage: Eukaryota; Metazoa; Chordata; Mammalia; Diprotodontia; Phascolarctidae
Source: RefSeq, a predicted model, not a curated record
GGAUGCUUUUCAGCAAACUGACUCCAGGGAGCCUGCAGGGCCAGGAGAAGGAUGGCAGAAAGGGGCCGGGAGACAGAUGUCCAGAGAAUCCAAUGCCCUUAUAGUUAUCACCUGGGUAAAUACAAGGGCCACUGUGUGCAUUUGACAGAUGAGGGAAAGGAGGCACAGACAGGUUAAAGAGCUUGUCUGUGAUUACCAAGUGAAUAUAAAGAGAGUAAAAAUUGAUUAUCUGUGCUGCAAGGAUAUGAUCUGGACUAAAUCAUCUGUUCUUUGAUGCAGACCACUUCACCAAAUAGGGAUUAGGCUAUAUAGAGAUUAAUCAGACAAGCAAAUGGUUAUUUAUGGAUGAUUUCUCUUAAUUGACAACCAAUGGUUUACAAACUAGAAGCUAUCAUCUGUGAAACUGGAUAAAGAGCUUUCUGGUAGGAGUAAAUGACAGGGUAACACUGGGGACAUCCGAGGCAAAGUGGGAUCAUCUGGAGGGAAGGCAUCUUCUGGCACAGGUGAGCACAGGGAAGGACACCCAUCUCAAAAUCUCCUUCAAAUGUCAACACUUCUGUGUGUCAUUCAGAAGUUUUGCAUGGAUGAAAAACAAUUCUCCCAUCAUCCUUCCCAACACGUUUUUCUCAUUUCCUUUUUCAAAGGAAAAUGAAAGGACAGCAUCAAUGUAGGGGGAGGAUGGAAGAAGCAUUAUCAUCCAUCUUUAAUCCACUGGAGACAAUGAGUAGGAAGGAAGUUUCAUUUUCUUCUGAUACCCCUUUUCCUUUCAAUCCCAUCUCAUCUGCCCCUGAGGUACAGCUUUACCAUCUGUAAAAUGAAUAAACUGGGCUGAAUGAUUCCCAGUUUAAAAUUUCCUGAAUGAAUGGCACAAUACUAAGUUCUGUGGAUACAAAUACAAAUAAGCAAGAUGGUCUCUGCCUUCAAGGAGCUUACAUUUUAAUGGAGGAAGACAAUGACUAGUGGAGAGCAAGAAUUGGCAAGAAGGGAGGUGAAGCAAGCUGAGUUCAUCAAGGUCCCAAUAAUCCAAAUUGUGGUGAGAGUCAGCUGAGGCUGAGAGUGCAGUGGAGUGAGGCAAAAGGCUUGGAGAUGGCCAGGAAAGAAGUCUCCAAUUUGCUGUUGGUCUUACAAGAUUUCCUCUUUCUCCGCUCACCAUCACUGUAAUGAUGCUAUUUUUUUUUCUUUCAAAAAGGUAUAUCUGCAUUGGUUCCUAAUGGAGCCUGCAUCUGUCAAAGUAUUUUUCUCCAAAAUUUAUUAAAGCUGAAGGAGCAUGCUUAG